Molecule: RNA transcript, 1315 nt
Organism: Leptopilina boulardi
Lineage: Eukaryota; Metazoa; Arthropoda; Insecta; Hymenoptera; Figitidae
Exons: 5
Source: RefSeq, a predicted model, not a curated record
UUAAAAUUCUGGACAAUGAAAUUAAACGAAAUGGAAAUGCCCAUUAUUUAUCAGAUGUUGUUAUAAAAAAAUAUGUUAGUUUGUUAAAAAGUGGUUAAAUUUAAGAAAAAUAAAUCUCAUUCAAUCAGAUGCUUUAAUAUAAUUGAAAUUUUAAAAUGAUAUGGAUGAAACAAUUGUAUAAAAAAAAAGUCAAUUAUAUUUUUCUUCUAACUGUGAUUGGAUGUACUUGUUUUUUGUUAUCACAAUUUCUUUAUUUAUCACGUCUAAAUAAAGACACAAGUCAAAUUAAUCACUCGUCAAAUCAUCACAAGCAAAACGUUGCUAUCAAUAAAAUAAUGUCAAAAUGGAAUGAAUCUAAACAUUCAAAAUUGGUUAAAGAUAAAGAUGGAAAUAGCGUUUCUUUAAGAGGAACACAUAGUCGAGAUAUUGUUAAAUAUCUUCCAAAUGUACGAGGUAAUUUUGUUUGUAUUACUUCUAAGGAGGAGAUAGACUAUUUUAAAAUUAAUGACAAUUAUUGUGAUUGUCCACUUGAUGGAAGUGAUGAAUCGGGAACAAAUGCUUGCAAUAAUGGUGUAUUUUAUUGCGAAAUGUCUUCAAAAAGAUUUCCAGCUAAAAUAUCAUCCUACAAAGUCAAUGAUGGAGUUUGUGAUUGUUGUGACGGUAGCGACGAAUGGUCAGAAAUUACUUUAUUUGAUACAUCUGCAAAUAAACACAGUCUUCAAAGUGCUUGUCCAAAUAGGUGUUGAGAAUAUUGUUAGAAUGUGCACGAAACGACUGAUUUUCAACGACACUUAUCGAGAGUUUACUUCAAGCAAUUCUUUUUUUUAAUAAUCGAAGAUGAUCAACGACAACGGGUUGAUCUUCGAAAUGAAAAACUCGUUGUAUAUUGGCUCCUUUUUUUUGCAAAAUAUCAGUAAAGAUUUCUUCCUCAAUACGAAUCCAUGGCCGAUUCUCAUCUCUUACUUCGUAUGGAGUGACAUGUACAUGAAUAUCAAUUUCUAAAAUAUUUUUUCAAAAGAAAAAUUAUUCCAUUUUUUAUAAACAUAAUUUAAAAAUAGUAAUUUAAAAAUUAUAAAUAAUAAAAUUAUUUAUAUCUACUUAAAUAUUUAAUGAUAAUGUUUAUGAUAACAUUAGUUAAUAAUUAAAAAUUUUAAAGACGUUAAAAUCUUGCUUGUAAAAAUUUGAGCAAAGACAAAAAUAUACUUUAGAUUGUAAAUAAUUAAAAAAAUAAUUAAUUCCCUUGAUUUAUUUUUAGUGAGUUUAUAAUAAAAACUGAAGUUACUAAGUUUGAAUAAAUACCCAUUUUUAUAAACGA